CAGCAGCUGUGUGACAGAUGUUCAGACAAUUGACAAAGCAUUUGGUGACCAGUCUGUUUUUACAAUAACAUAUAAGUGAUUUACCUGAUGUCUUGCGGAUAAUGUUAGAAAUCCUGACAUAAUGGAUAUCAUGAUUUGCUGUAUAUGUCACCAUGCAGUUGAAGACAACCAAGGCUCUAAACUUACAGUAAAAGGAUGCAGAGGAAUAAAUGAUGCUAGCUAGAAGAGACAGGAUAAUGUUCAGGCUGUUCCAGGAAAUUUUGUUCACAUUGCAUGUCGAAAGACGUACACAUGCUAAUGUUAUUGUUCGCGAUACAAAAGAAAACCUUAGUCCAAACACAAGAUUUGUGAGGUCUAAAGCUGAUGUAUUGAAUUUUCAAGAACAUUGUAUAUUUUGUGGUCAUUCUGCUAAAUACAAUGACAGAAAACGCGGUUUGGAUGU
Molecule: long non-coding RNA, 442 nt
Organism: Dreissena polymorpha
Lineage: Eukaryota; Metazoa; Mollusca; Bivalvia; Myida; Dreissenidae
Exons: 3
Source: RefSeq, a predicted model, not a curated record